Molecule: non-coding RNA, 21 nt
Organism: Caenorhabditis elegans
Lineage: Eukaryota; Metazoa; Nematoda; Chromadorea; Rhabditida; Rhabditidae
Source: Ensembl
UCACAAUGCAGCUAGAAUUAA